UUCCCUACGGGACGCAGCAGUGGGGAAUAUUGCACAAUGGGGGAAACCCUGAUGCAGCGACGCCGCGUGAGCGAGGAAGUACCUCGGUAUGUAAAGCUCUGCCAGCAGGGAAGAAAAUGACAGUACCUGACCAAGAAGCCCCGGCUAACUACGUGCCAGCAGCCGCGGUAAUACGUAGGGGGCAAGCGUUAUCCGGAUUUACUGGGUGUAGAGGGAGCGUAGACGGCAGCGCAAGUCUGAAGUGAAAUCCCAUGGCUUAACCAUGGAACUGCUUUGGAAACUGUGCAGCUGGAGUGCAGGAGAGG
Molecule: ribosomal RNA, 305 nt
Filed under: uncultured bacterium
Lineage: Bacteria
Description: bacterial SSU rRNA
Rfam family: Bacterial small subunit ribosomal RNA
Source: RNAcentral